This 751-nucleotide ribosomal RNA is filed under the name uncultured bacterium. RNAcentral's name for it is "bacterial SSU rRNA". It matches the Rfam family "Bacterial small subunit ribosomal RNA", at positions 8 to 796 of the family's 1533-position model. The record is from RNAcentral.
AGAGUUUGAUCAUGGCUCAGAACGAACGCUGGCGGCAGGCCUAACACAUGCAAGUCGAAGGAGAAGCACCUUUCGGGGUGUGGACACUGGCGCACGGGUGAGUAACGCGUGGGAAUCUACCCCGGGGUGGGGAAUAACUGCUGGAAACGGCAGCUAAUACCGCAUACGCCGUAUUGGGAAAGCUUUAGCGCCCUGGGAUGAGCCCGCGUUAGAUUAGUUUGUUGGUGGGGUAACGGCCUACCAAGACUACGAUCUAUAGCUGGUCUGAGAGGAUGAUCAGCCACACUGGGACUGAGACACGGCCCAGACUCCUACGGGAGGCAGCAGUGGGGAAUAUUGGACAAUGGGGGCAACCCUGAUCCAGCCAUGCCGCGUGCGUGAAGAAGGCCUUAGGGUUGUAAAGCGCUUUCACUGGUGAAGAUGAUGACGGUAGCCAGAGAAGAAGCCCCGGCUAACUCCGUGCCAGCAGCCGCGGUAAUACGGAGGGGGCAAGCGUUGUUCGGAAUUACUGGGCGUAAAGGGCGCGUAGGCGGAAUAUCAAGUUAGGGGUGAAAGGCCCGGGCUCAACCUGGGAACGGCCUCUAAAACUGAUAAUCUUGAGUCCGGAAGAGGAUGGCGGAAUUCCCAGUGUAGAGGUGAAAUUCGUAGAUAUUGGGAAGAACACCGGUGGCGAAGGCGGCCAUCUGGUCCGGAACUGACGCUGAGGCGCGAAAGCGUGGGGAGCAAACAGGAUUAGAUACCCUAGUAGUCC